CCAAACUUGGUCAUUUAGAGGAAGUAAAAGUCGUAACAAGGUUUCCGUAGGUGAACCUGCGGAAGGAUCAUUAUUGAAUUUAUCUGGUCUGAGUUGUUGCUGGCUCUUUAGAGCAAUGUGCACGCUCAUUCCAACAUCCUUAACCACCUGUGAACUCUUGAUAUAGACCUGAAGCCAUCUUUCAAACUCUGUUUGGAACUCUGUUUGGCUUGGAGGAUUGCUGCGCAAAUGAAAUUAAACCAGCUUUGCUCUUCUUGGCUUGGGUUUAUAUUCUUUUCUUUCUACAAACACCUAGAAUGUAUUAGAAGGAUAUGAAUAAUAAAGGCCUUUCUUGGCCUUUUAUAAAAACAAAUACAACUUUCAACAACGGAUCUCUUGGCUCUCGCAUCGAUGAAGAACGCAGC
This 404-nucleotide unclassified non-coding RNA is filed under the name uncultured fungus. RNAcentral describes it as "partial contains small subunit ribosomal RNA, internal transcribed spacer 1, and 5.8S ribosomal RNA". The stretch from base 1 to 73 matches the Rfam family "Eukaryotic small subunit ribosomal RNA", at positions 1759 to 1831 of the family's 1831-position model. Lineage: Eukaryota; Fungi. The record is from RNAcentral.